CCUACGGGAGGCAGCAGUGGGGAAUAUUGGUCAAUGGACGCAAGUCUGACCCAGCCACGUCGCGUGAAUGAUGACUGCCCUCGGGUUGGUAAGCUUCUUUUAUAGGGGAGUAGAACGAGACGCGUGUGCCUUUUUACAUGUCCGUUAUGAAUAAGGCUCGGCUAACUCCGUGCCAGCAGCCGCGGUAAUACGGAGGAAGCGAGCGUUGUACGGAUUGAUUGGGUGUAAUGGGAGCGUAGAUGGGUUGUUAAGUCAGUUGUGAAAGUGCGCGGCUCAACCGUAAAAUUGCAAUUGAUACUGGCAGUCUUGAGUACAGGAGAGGUAGGCGGAAUUCGUGGUGUAGCGGUGAAAUGCUUAGAUAUUACGAAGAACCCCGAUGGCGAAGGCAGCUUACUGAACUGUGACUGACACUGAGGCUCGAAAGUGUGGGUAUCAAACAGGAUUAGAUACCCUUGUAGUC
Molecule: ribosomal RNA, 460 nt
Filed under: uncultured bacterium
Lineage: Bacteria
Description: partial 16S ribosomal RNA
Rfam family: Bacterial small subunit ribosomal RNA
Source: RNAcentral